GGUUAAGCGACUAAGCGUACACGGUGGAUGCCCUGGCAGUCAGAGGCGAUGAAGGACGUGCUAAUCUGCGAUAAGCGUCGGUAAGGUGAUAUGAACCGUUAUAACCGGCGAUUUCCGAAUGGGGAAACCCAGUGUGUUUCGACACACUAUCAUUAACUGAAUCCAUAGGUUAAUGAGGCGAACCGGGGGAACUGAAACAUCUAAGUACCCCGAGGAAAAGAAAUCAACCGAGAUUCCCCCAGUAGCGGCGAGCGAACGGGGAGGAGCCCAGAGCCUGAAU
This 280-nucleotide ribosomal RNA is filed under the name Escherichia coli. Its description in RNAcentral is "partial 23S ribosomal RNA". It matches the Rfam family "Bacterial large subunit ribosomal RNA", at positions 1 to 281 of the family's 2925-position model. The record is from RNAcentral. Lineage: Bacteria; Pseudomonadati; Pseudomonadota; Gammaproteobacteria; Enterobacterales; Enterobacteriaceae. RNAcentral also lists the same sequence under 1 other name.